GACGUAGGAGGCGAGCGUUGUCCGGAUUCAUUGGGCGUAAAGAGCACGCAGGCGGUUUGGCAAGUCGGAUGUGAAAUCCCGAGGCUCACUCGGUCGUGCAGUCGAUACGAGCAAACUAGAGUGUUGCAGGGGAGACUGGAAUUCCUGGUGUAGCGGUGAAAUGCGCAGAGUAUCAGGAGGAACACCCGGUGGGCGAAGGCGGGGUCUCUGGGCAACAACUGACG
This 224-nucleotide ribosomal RNA is filed under the name uncultured bacterium. RNAcentral describes it as "partial 16S ribosomal RNA". It matches the Rfam family "Bacterial small subunit ribosomal RNA", at positions 524 to 745 of the family's 1533-position model. The record is from RNAcentral.